AACUCGACUGCAUGAAGCCGGAAUCGCUAGUAAUCGCGGAUCAGAAUGCCGCGGUGAAUACGUUCCCGGGUCUUGUACACACCGCCCGUCACACCAUGGGAGUCGGAAAUGCCCGAAGCCGGUGGCCUAACCGAUAAGGGAGGAGCCGUCGAAGGCAGGUCUGAUGACUGGGGUGAAGUCGUAACAAGGUACC
RNAcentral lists this ribosomal RNA (193 nucleotides) under uncultured bacterium. RNAcentral describes it as "partial 16S ribosomal RNA". It matches the Rfam family "Bacterial small subunit ribosomal RNA", at positions 1309 to 1500 of the family's 1533-position model. The record is from RNAcentral.